RNAcentral lists this ribosomal RNA (463 nucleotides) under uncultured bacterium. RNAcentral describes it as "bacterial SSU rRNA". It matches the Rfam family "Bacterial small subunit ribosomal RNA", at positions 32 to 507 of the family's 1533-position model. The record is from RNAcentral.
AACGCUGGCGGCGUGCCUAACACAUGCAAGUCGAACGAGGUCCAUGAGAGCUUGCUCUCAGAAGACCUAGUGGCGAACGGGUGAGUAACACGUGAGAAACCUGCCUCGGAGUGGGGAAUAACUCGGGGAAACUCGAGCUAAUACCGCAUAUCUUCACAUGAUCGCAUGGUCGAGUGAAGAAAGAAUUUCGCUCUGAGAGGGUCUCGCGGCCUAUCAGCUUGUUGGUGGGGUAACGGCCCACCAAGGCAACGACGGGUAGCUGGUUUGAGAGGACGAUCAGCCACACUGGGACUGAGACACGGCCCAGACUCCUACGGGAGGCAGCAGUGGGGAAUCUUGCGCAAUGGGCGAAAGCCUGACGCAGCAACGCCGCGUGCGGGAUGACGGCCUUCGUGGUUGUAAACCGCUUUCAGCAGGGACGAAAAUGACGGUACCUGCAGAAGAAGCCCCGGCUAACUACGUG